GAUGAAUGCUGGCGGCGUGCCUAACACAUGCAAGUCGAGCGGCAGCGAAGGGUGCUUGCACCCUGUCGGCGAGCGGCGGACGGCUGAGUAACGCGUGGGAAUCUACCCUAAAGUGAGGGAUAACCGCCCGAAAGGGUGGCUAAUACCGCAUAUGAUCUUCGGAUUAAAGGAUUUAUCCGCUUUAGGAAGAGCCCGCGUUAGAUUAGGUAGUUGGUAGGGUAAUGGCCUACCAAGCCAACGAUCUAUAGCUGGUCUGAGAGGAUGAUCAGCCAGACUGGAACUGAGACACGGUCCAGACUCCUACGGGAGGCAGCAGUGAGGAAUCUUCCACAAUGGGCGAAAGCCUGAUGGAGCAACGCCGCGUGAAGGAUGAAGGCCUUCGGGUUGUAAACUUCUUUUAUGAGUGAAGAAUAUGACGGUAACUCAUGAAUAAGCACCGGCUAACUACGUGCCAGCAGCCGCGGUCAUACGUAGGGUGCAAGCAUUAUCCGGAGUGACUGGGCGUAAAGAGUUGCGUAGGCGGUUUAAUAAGUGAAUAGUGAAACCUGGUGGCUCAACCAUACAGACUAUUAUUCAAACUGUUAAACUCGAGAGUAGUAGAGGUAACUGGAAUUUCUAGUGUAGGAGUGAAAUCCGUAGAUAUAAGAAGGAACACCGAUGGCGUAGGCAGGUGACUGGACCAUUUCUGACGCUAAGGCACGAAAGCGUGGGGAGCGAACCGGAUUAGAUACCCGGGUAGUCCACGCCGUAAACGAUGGAUACUGGCUGUUGGAGGUAUCGACCCCUUCAGUAGCGAAGCUAACGCGUUAAGUAUCCCGCCUGUGGAGUACGGUCGCAAGACUAAAACAUAAAGGAAUUGACGGGGACCCGCACAAGCGGUGGAUCGUGUUCUUUAAUUCGAUGCUAAACGAAGAACCUUACCAGGGCUUGACAUCCAGGGAAUUUUUGGGAAACCAAUUAGUGCCUUUUGGAACCCUGUGACAGGUGAUGCAUGGCCGUCGUCAGCUCGUGUCGUGAGAUGUUUGGUUAAGUCCAUCAACGAGCGCAACCCUUGCAACUAGUUGGAUUUUUCUAGUUGGGCUGCUUCGGUAACGGAGA
RNAcentral lists this ribosomal RNA (1098 nucleotides) under uncultured Candidatus Saccharibacteria bacterium. Its description in RNAcentral is "bacterial SSU rRNA". It matches the Rfam family "Bacterial small subunit ribosomal RNA", at positions 28 to 1167 of the family's 1533-position model. Lineage: Bacteria; Candidatus Saccharimonadota. The record is from RNAcentral.